UACGUAGGUGGCAAGCGUUGUCCGGAUUUAUUGGGUUUAAAGGGUGCGUAGGCGGUCUAUUAAGUCAGCGGUGAAAUACUCCAUCUUAACUGGAGGGGUGCCAUUGAUACUGAUGGACUUGAGUCAAGUCGAGGUAGGCGGAAUUGACGGUGUAGCGGUGAAAUGCUUAGAUAUCGUCAAGAACACCAAUAGUGAAGACAGCUUACUGGGCUUAAACUGACGCUGAGGCACGAAAGUGUGGGGAUCAAACAGG
This 253-nucleotide ribosomal RNA is filed under the name uncultured bacterium. RNAcentral describes it as "partial 16S ribosomal RNA". It matches the Rfam family "Bacterial small subunit ribosomal RNA", at positions 524 to 776 of the family's 1533-position model. The record is from RNAcentral.